GAAGGUAUAGCUCAGUGGUAGAGCACAUACUUAGCAGGCACGAGGUCCUGGGUUAAAUCCCCAGUACCUCCA
This 72-nucleotide transfer RNA is filed under the name Camelus bactrianus (Bactrian camel). It matches the Rfam family "tRNA". From Rfam's summary of the family: Transfer RNA (tRNA) molecules are approximately 80 nucleotides in length. Their secondary structure includes four short double-helical elements and three loops (D, anti-codon, and T loops). Further hydrogen bonds mediate the characteristic L-shaped molecular structure. tRNAs have two regions of fundamental functional importance: the anti-codon, which is responsible for specific mRNA codon recognition, and the 3' end, to which the tRNAs corresponding amino acid is attached (by aminoacyl-tRNA synthetases). tRNAs cope with the degeneracy of the genetic code in two manners: having more than one tRNA (with a specific anti-codon) for a particular amino acid; and 'wobble' base-pairing, i.e. permitting non-standard base-pairing at the 3rd anti-codon position. The record is from Rfam by way of RNAcentral. Lineage: Eukaryota; Metazoa; Chordata; Mammalia; Artiodactyla; Camelidae. RNAcentral also lists the same sequence under 2 other names.